UCACAACUGACGCUGAAGCUCGAAGGCGCGGGUAUCGAACAGGAUUAGAUACCCUGGUAGUCCGCGCGGUAAACGAUGGAUGCUCGCUGUUGGGCUUUAUGUUCAGCGGCCAAGCGAAAGCGUUAAGCAUCCCACCUGGGGAGUACGCCGGCAACGGUGAAACUCAAAGGAAUUGACGGGGGCCCGCACAAGCGGAGGAACAUGUGGUUUAAUUCGAUGAUACGCGAGGAACCUUACCCGGGCUUGAACUGCAGCGGAAGGAUACAGAGAUGUUGACGUCCUUCGGGACCGCUGUGGAGGUGCUGCAUGGUUGUCGUCAGCUCGUGCCGUGAGGUGUCGGCUUAAGUGCCAUAACGAGCGCAACCCUUUUCAUUAGUUGCCAUCAGGUCAUGCUGGGCACUCUGAUGAUACUGCCACCGUAAGGUGUGAGGAAGGUGGGGAUGACGUCAAAUCAGCACGGCCCUUACGUCCGGGGCUACACACGUGUUACAAUGGGUGGUACAGAGAGUCGGUCGUCUGCAAAUGCGAUCCAAUCCUUAAAGCCAUCCUCAGUUCGGAUUGGGGUCUGCAACCCGACCCCAUGAAGCUGGAUUCGCUAGU
Molecule: ribosomal RNA, 600 nt
Filed under: uncultured bacterium
Lineage: Bacteria
Description: bacterial SSU rRNA
Rfam family: Bacterial small subunit ribosomal RNA
Source: RNAcentral